RNAcentral lists this microRNA precursor (97 nucleotides) under Pteropus alecto (black flying fox). RNAcentral describes it as "mir-544 microRNA precursor family". It matches the Rfam family "mir-544 microRNA precursor family". The record is from Rfam by way of RNAcentral. Lineage: Eukaryota; Metazoa; Chordata; Mammalia; Chiroptera; Pteropodidae.
AUUACUUGGAAUCUUGUUGAAAAGCAGAUUCUGACUCAGCAUGUCUGGAGAGUGGCCUGAGAUUCUGCAUUUCCAAUAAGCUCCCAGGUGAUGCUGG